RNAcentral lists this ribosomal RNA (813 nucleotides) under Massariosphaeria grandispora. RNAcentral describes it as "SSU rRNA". It matches the Rfam family "Eukaryotic small subunit ribosomal RNA", at positions 45 to 871 of the family's 1831-position model. The record is from RNAcentral. Lineage: Eukaryota; Fungi; Ascomycota; Dothideomycetes; Pleosporales.
AUAACCUGCAUGUCUAAGUAUAAGCAAUUAUACCGUGAAACUGCGAAUGGCUCAUUAAAUCAGUUAUCGUUUAUUUGAUAGUACCUUACUACUUGGAUAACCGUGGUAAUUCUAGAGCUAAUACAUGCUGAAAACCCUGACUUCGGAAAGGGUGUAUUUAUUAGAUAAAAAACCAAUGCCCUUUGGGCUCUUUGGUGAUUCAUGAUAACUUAACGGAUCGCAUGGCCUUGCGCCGGCGACGGUUCAUUCAAAUUUCUGCCCUAUCAACUUUCGAUGGUAAGGUAUUGGCUUACCAUGGUUUCAACGGGUAACGGGGAAUUAGGGUUCGAUUCCGGAGAGGGAGCCUGAGAAACGGCUACCACAUCCAAGGAAGGCAGCAGGCGCGCAAAUUACCCAAUCCCGACACGGGGAGGUAGUGACAAUAAAUACUGAUACAGGGCUCUUUUGGGUCUUGUAAUCGGAAUGAGUACAAUUUAAACCUCUUAACGAGGAACAAUUGGAGGGCAAGUCUGGUGCCAGCAGCCGCGGUAAUUCCAGCUCCAAUAGCGUAUAUUAAAGUUGUUGCAGUUAAAAAGCUCGUAGUUGAAUCUUGGGCCUGGCUGGCCGGUCCGCCUCACCGCGUGUACUGGUCUGGCCGGGCCUUUCCUUCUGGAGAACCUCAUGCCCUUCAGUGGGUGUGUUGGGGGACCAGGACUUUUACUUUGAAAAAAUUAGAGUGUUCAAAGCAGGCCUUUGCUCGAAUACGUUAGCAUGGAAUAUAGAAUAGGACGUGCGGUCCUAUUUUGUUGGUUUCUAGGACCGCCGUAAUGAUUA